Molecule: transfer RNA, 75 nt
Filed under: Schistocerca americana (American grasshopper)
Lineage: Eukaryota; Metazoa; Arthropoda; Insecta; Orthoptera; Acrididae
Description: tRNA-Thr
Rfam family: tRNA
About the family: Transfer RNA (tRNA) molecules are approximately 80 nucleotides in length. Their secondary structure includes four short double-helical elements and three loops (D, anti-codon, and T loops).
Source: RNAcentral
GCCCUCGGUGGCUCAGAUGGAUAGAGCGUCUGACAUGUAAACAGAAGAUCCCGGGUUCGAGUCCCGGUCGGGGCA